AGCUUUUUGGAUCCGUGCUGAGAUUUCGUCAGACGUUGACCCAUUAGGGCUGAUCAGACUUCUAAGAUAAAUGGAGUU
This 78-nucleotide microRNA precursor is filed under the name Schistosoma bovis. RNAcentral describes it as "mir-3492 microRNA precursor family". It matches the Rfam family "mir-3492 microRNA precursor family". Lineage: Eukaryota; Metazoa; Platyhelminthes; Trematoda; Strigeidida; Schistosomatidae. RNAcentral also lists the same sequence under 1 other name. The record is from Rfam by way of RNAcentral.